GUUGAUCCUGGCUCAGAUUGUACGCUGGCGGCAUGCCUUACACAUGCAAGUCGAACGGUAACAGGUCUUCGGAUGCUGACGAGUGGCGAACGGGUGAGUAAUACAUCGGAACGUGCCUAGUAGUGGGGGAUAACUACUCGAAAGAGUGGCUAAUACCGCAUGAGAUCUACGGAUGAAAGCAGGGGAUCGCAAGACCUUGUGCUACUAGAGCGGCCGAUGGCAGAUUAGGUAGUUGGUGGGAUAAAAGCUUACCAAGCCGACGAUCUGUAGCUGGUCUGAGAGGACGAUCAGCCACACUGGGACUGAGACACGGCCCAGACUCCUACGGGAGGCAGCAGUGGGGAAUUUUGGACAAUGGGCGCAAGCCUGAUCCAGCAAUGCCGCGUGCAGGAUGAAGGCCUUCGGGUUGUAAACUGCUUUUGUACGGAACGAAAAGCCCUGGGUUAAUACCCUGGGGUCAUGACGGUACCGUAAGAAUAAGCACCGGCUAACUACGUGCCAGCAGCCGCGGUAAUACGUAGGGUGCGAGCGUUAAUCGGAAUUACUGGGCGUAAAGCGUGCGCAGGCGGUUU
RNAcentral lists this ribosomal RNA (572 nucleotides) under Comamonas sp. B0039. RNAcentral describes it as "bacterial SSU rRNA". It matches the Rfam family "Bacterial small subunit ribosomal RNA", at positions 11 to 581 of the family's 1533-position model. Lineage: Bacteria; Pseudomonadati; Pseudomonadota; Betaproteobacteria; Burkholderiales; Comamonadaceae. The record is from RNAcentral.